Molecule: ribosomal RNA, 201 nt
Filed under: uncultured bacterium
Lineage: Bacteria
Description: partial 16S ribosomal RNA
Rfam family: Bacterial small subunit ribosomal RNA
Source: RNAcentral
UACGUAGGGUGCAAGCGUUAAUCGGAAUUACUGGGCGUAAAGCGUGCGCAGGCGGUCCGUUAAGACAGAUGUGAAAUCCCCGGGCUUAACCUGGGAACUGCAUUUGUGACUGGCGGACUCGAGUAUGGCAGAGGGGGGUAGAAUUCCACGUGUAGCAGUGAAAUGCGUAGAGAUGUGGAGGAAUACCGAUGGCGAAGGCAG